Molecule: non-coding RNA, 1339 nt
Organism: Zonotrichia albicollis (white-throated sparrow)
Lineage: Eukaryota; Metazoa; Chordata; Aves; Passeriformes; Passerellidae
Source: RefSeq, a predicted model, not a curated record
GAAUGAGAAGCCCGGCUUAUGUAAUGCUGGUAGAGCUUAGCUGCACAUUCAGAUUGUAUUUAAGGCAAAGCUUAACAUGCAGAUGAGGUUUUACAAUUCUUCAUCCCUCCUGUUCUUCCUUGUUUCCCUAUAAUGGAUUUUGAUUUAUUUGAUAAUGGGAUCAGACUUCUCUCCUCUGUAUCAUCAGGAACCUUUACAAGUUUUCUGCUAAGGGAAGGGAUAGCAAGAUUUGCAUUAUGGGGCUUUUUUGUUAUCUUCCCUCCACUGCAACUGAGAUUUGAGAAACCAUGCAUGUGAGUGUCUGUCUGUGUAAGCAAUGUGGUGAUGAUCACUUUGAUCAGCCCUGGUACCAGCACUGCCAGCCCUUUUCCCACUGCACGCAGGAGCACAUCCCAUAAAUCCGGAGUGACUGCAGCCAGCCAUCUGCAAGGGAGCCAACAUUCAGCUGCAACGAGCAGCACCUGAAUUUGGAAGCCUUUUCCAAGGGCUCAGACCAAGGGAUCAGCUGCAUCGAGCAGGUCUCAGAGGAAAGGACUGGCAAACCACCUUCCUAUCGAGCCACAACAGCAGAGGAGAAGGAGGACAGGGCAUCAGGAACCAGGGCCAAAAGACCUAAAGAUGUAGUGGCUGCUUGCCCACAAUAAGUUCUUCCAAGGAACCCCACUUGCUGCUGCAGAGAGGCAUCCACCAGAAGCUGACCUCCUUAUCUUGAAUUUCACAUGUAAUGAGUAGCUAAAUCUGACACCAAAUUAUUUUAGGAAGAAAAUUCAAAGUCAAGCCAUUUCCUUUGAAAAAGCCAUUUGAAACCUUUGGGGAACAGAUAUGGAAACAUAAUUUAAAACUCAUUUCCCCACACAAGUGAUUGGGAUUAAUUUCAGUAAAUCCGGUGUUUACUAUGCACAGAACAUCUCCUCUCUCACCACAAGCCCUGGACACUUUGGACUACUCUUUCAUUGGACUACACUUUCAAAAGUGCUCCCUCAUUCUGCUUGUGUAAUUCAGAUUUGGUUUUAUCUGCAAGAAAAUGUCUCUUCAGUUACUGAGCCUGAGCCUGCUGCGGCUGAGGGAGAAAUGCCUGGCCUGGGCUGUGCCACAGGGAAGCAGCAGCACUGCAGUCCCAGCCCGACCCAUGCCAGGGACAGCACCUCUGCUGACCAUACUCAGGGGCUGGGGGAGAAGCUGUGCUGGCUGGCACCAGCUCUGUUGGAAAGCACUGCUUGCAUUUGGAAUGCAAAGCAGACAUGAUUUCAGCACCUGAUCUCUUUGACAACAAAGGCUGUAGAAGAUUAGAAAUACUUAGAUUUGCACUUCAUUAAAAAAUGCAUUUCCCUCUGUAAAA